GUGAUCCUGCCCUAGCUGAAUACUAAUGCUGGCCUGUCCUCUGAAAAAAUCUUGAGGGGGAGCAAGUCUUCUGGGUUUAAUUUCCGCAGGGUGAAGAUAUAAACCUGAAUCUGCCUUUCCUAAAUAUCUGUCUUUAAGGACCACCUAGUGGAGAAACAUAAUACAGCAGUUUUAGCAUGACUACGGAUCCUCAGUACCCCUCCCCCACUAUCAUCACAGCACCAGCAACAAUGACACCUAGUGGGCAAAUGUAAUAUAGUAAUACUUUAAAUUCGGCAGAUACAGAUUUCCUUUCAAUGAAUGGCAACAUACCUGUUAACUGUGGUUAUUGGUAUACUUGCUUCUGUCCAGAAAAGAUUCCCAAUGUGUAAAACGUCUGGUUAAAUGCAUUGCCACUGUCAUCUUUAAUUCACAAUUCAAACUGCAUCCUUCAGUUCUGAAUCUUUUAUAAAAACACAAGAUUUUAUAGUGCUUUGUGAAAUUCCCAGUUUUGUAUCUUGGAAUGCAAAUGAUUCUGAACUAAACAUAAGGAUGCCACCCUCUUUGAUACAGAUUUUAAGAUGUCUAAAACAAAAACGGUAAUUGCCAGUGGUUAAGAAAAAUGGCUACAGGUCCAAUCCUACAAACAGGCUCCUGUUUAAGGUGAAGCAGGUAAGCAACUGCAUUAUCUUAAAAUGAAGAAGUAUACAGUUUAUAGGAUCAGGGU
Long non-coding RNA from Alligator mississippiensis (American alligator), 706 nucleotides. RefSeq lists it as uncharacterized. The record is from RefSeq and is a predicted model, not a curated record. Lineage: Eukaryota; Metazoa; Chordata; Crocodylia; Alligatoridae. The transcript has 3 exons.